Non-coding RNA from Megalops atlanticus (tarpon), 73 nucleotides. NCBI's taxonomy places the organism in Eukaryota, Metazoa, Chordata, Actinopteri, Elopiformes, Megalopidae. The record is from the annotation of a GenBank genome assembly.
GCAGCAAUGUGCUGAGUGGUAAGGUGGAGGGCUCGUAACCAAAAGGUUGCUGGUUCAUAUCCCUGCUGGGGCA